RNAcentral lists this ribosomal RNA (506 nucleotides) under uncultured bacterium. RNAcentral describes it as "partial 16S ribosomal RNA". It matches the Rfam family "Bacterial small subunit ribosomal RNA", at positions 29 to 523 of the family's 1533-position model. The record is from RNAcentral.
AGUGAACGCUGGCGGUAGGCCUAACACAUGCAAGUCGAACGGCAGCACAGGAGAGCUUGCUCUCUGGGUGGCGAGUGGCGGACGGGUGAGGAAUACAUCGGAAUCUACUUUUUCGUGAGGGAUAACGUAGGGAAACUUACGCUAAUACCGCAUACGACCUACGGGUGAAAGCAGGGGAUCUUCGGACCUUGCGCGAUUGAAUGAGCCGAUGUCGGAUUAGCUAGUUGGCGGGGUAAAGGCCUACCAAGGCGACGAUCCGUAGCUGGUCUGAGAGGAUGAUCAGCCACACUGGAACUGCGACACGGUCCAGACUCCUACGGGAGGCAGCAGUGGGGAAUAUUGGACAAUGGGCGCAAGCCUGAUCCAGCCAUACCGCGUGGGUGAAGAAGGCCUUCGGGUUGUAAAGCCCUUUUGUUGGGAAAGAAAUCCAGCUGGCUAAUACCCGGUUGGGAUGACGGUACCCAAAGAAUAAGCACCGGCUAACUUCGUGCCAGCAGCCGCCGUAA